AGAAGGAAAGACAGAGGUGUCACAAAAGGGAAGAAGAGUUGGGGCCCAAGGUCAAGAGGGGACUUUCAGAAAGGGAGUGAGAGGGGAGGGGCCAGUACAGGUGGAGAGCACUUACUAUGUAUCCAGCUUCCAGAGAAUGACGGGAGGAGGCCUGAGAAAGACCAGAGUCCAGAGCAGAAUACAAGAAGGAGAUGCAGAAGGAAGGGACUGAAAGCCGGGAAACCUCAGGAGAUAGAGAUACCAGUGCCAGAGCAGGUGCCUCACACUGAGGCUCAGGACCAUGGCCUGCUACUCACAAUGCCCUGACGCCUUUGAACCUGAGAUGUCCAUCCAAGUCUGUUUUAAUCCCCCAUUGCAAACCCUGGAAUUAGAUAUUUUGUCUUU
Equus caballus (horse) is the source of this 384-nucleotide long non-coding RNA. RefSeq lists it as uncharacterized. Lineage: Eukaryota; Metazoa; Chordata; Mammalia; Perissodactyla; Equidae. The record is from RefSeq and is a predicted model, not a curated record.